This 253-nucleotide ribosomal RNA is filed under the name uncultured bacterium. Its description in RNAcentral is "partial 16S ribosomal RNA". It matches the Rfam family "Bacterial small subunit ribosomal RNA", at positions 524 to 776 of the family's 1533-position model. The record is from RNAcentral.
UACGUAGGAGGCAAGCGUUGUCCGGAAUUACUGGGCGUAAAGCGCGUGUAGGUGGCCAUGUAGGUCCGCUGUGAAAACUUGAGGCUCAACCUCAAGCUGUCGGCGGAAACCCCAUGGCUAGAGUCCGGAAGAGGAGAGUGGAAUUCCUGGUGUAGCGGUGAAAUGCGCAGAUAUCAGGAAGAACACCAAUGGCGAAGGCAGCUCUCUGGGACGGUACUGACACUGAGACGCGAAAGCGUGGGGAGCGAACAGG